GUUUUCCCUGGAAUUGGGCCUCCGCGUACCGGUUCGUUCUUCCGAACAGAAGCGAGCGAGCGAGCUCGGGACGAGAUCGAUGAAAACGCCCGGCGCACCAACUCGCCUUCGCGGCGGCGGCACAGAAUUUCUUGGAGUACUGGUAGCACGGGAGGCUGAUUUUGUUCUUGUUAUGGCCUGAUGUGUUUCAGUUGCAAAAUUCCUCGGAGAAUCAUAAUGUUUCUUGGCUAAAUGACUUUAUAUUUCGGUUGCAAAAUUGGAUGCUAAUAUUUUGUAUGUUGUUAUACGUGAAGAAGUAAUACAUAUACACACAAUUUUUUCUCUA
This is a long non-coding RNA of Brachypodium distachyon (stiff brome), 325 nucleotides long. RefSeq lists it as uncharacterized. The transcript is spliced from 2 exons. NCBI's taxonomy places the organism in Eukaryota, Viridiplantae, Streptophyta, Magnoliopsida, Poales, Poaceae. The record is from RefSeq and is a predicted model, not a curated record.